RNAcentral lists this ribosomal RNA (257 nucleotides) under uncultured bacterium. RNAcentral's name for it is "partial 16S ribosomal RNA". It matches the Rfam family "Bacterial small subunit ribosomal RNA", at positions 524 to 776 of the family's 1533-position model. The record is from RNAcentral.
UACGUAGGGGGCGAGCAUUGUCCGGAUUUAUUGGGCGUAAAGAGCUCGUAGGCGGUUUGGCAAGUCGGGUGUGAAAACUCCGGGCUCAACUCGGAGACGCCACUCGAUACUGCUAUGACUCGAGUCCGGUAGGGGAGUGCGGAAUUCCUGGUGUAGCGGUGAAAUGCGUUGAUCUACAGAGGAACACCAAAAAAGGCGAAGGCAGUCAACUAUUCUGUUCCUGACAUUGAGGCAUGAAAGCGUGGGGAGCAAACCGG